UGGCUCAGUGGUAGAGCACUUGCCUUGCAUGCAUGAGGCUCUGGGUUCAAUUUCUCAG
This 58-nucleotide transfer RNA is filed under the name Dipodomys ordii (Ord's kangaroo rat). It matches the Rfam family "tRNA", at positions 8 to 63 of the family's 71-position model. Rfam says of the family: Transfer RNA (tRNA) molecules are approximately 80 nucleotides in length. Their secondary structure includes four short double-helical elements and three loops (D, anti-codon, and T loops). Further hydrogen bonds mediate the characteristic L-shaped molecular structure. tRNAs have two regions of fundamental functional importance: the anti-codon, which is responsible for specific mRNA codon recognition, and the 3' end, to which the tRNAs corresponding amino acid is attached (by aminoacyl-tRNA synthetases). tRNAs cope with the degeneracy of the genetic code in two manners: having more than one tRNA (with a specific anti-codon) for a particular amino acid; and 'wobble' base-pairing, i.e. permitting non-standard base-pairing at the 3rd anti-codon position. Lineage: Eukaryota; Metazoa; Chordata; Mammalia; Rodentia; Heteromyidae. The record is from Rfam by way of RNAcentral.